RNAcentral lists this microRNA precursor (105 nucleotides) under Marmota monax (woodchuck). The record is from RNAcentral. Lineage: Eukaryota; Metazoa; Chordata; Mammalia; Rodentia; Sciuridae.
CCAAGAAUCACUCGAGGGUCUUGUUAACCUGCAAGUUCUGGUUCAGCAAGUCUAGGUGGGGGCCUGGGAGUCUGCGUUUUUAACAAGGUCCCAGGUGAUGCUGAG